CCUACGGGGGGCAGCAGUAGGGAAUAUUGCUCAAUGGGGGAAACCCUGAAGCAGCAACGCCGCGUGGAGGAUGAAGGUUUUCGGAGUGUAAACUCCUUUUGUUAGAGAAGAGAAUGACGGUAGCUAACGAAUAAGCACCGGCGAACACCGGGCCCGCAGCCGCGGUAAUACGGAGGGUGCAAGAGUUACUCGGAAUCACUGGGCGUAAAGAGCGCGUAGGCGGGAUAGCAAGUCAGAUGUGAAAUCCUAGGGCUUAACCAUAGAACUGCAUUUGAAACUGUUAUUCUAGAGUAUGGGAGCGGUCGGUGGAAUUCUUGGUGUAGUGGUUAUAUCCGU
RNAcentral lists this ribosomal RNA (336 nucleotides) under uncultured bacterium. RNAcentral's name for it is "partial 16S ribosomal RNA". It matches the Rfam family "Bacterial small subunit ribosomal RNA", at positions 338 to 691 of the family's 1533-position model. The record is from RNAcentral.